Vicia villosa (hairy vetch) is the source of this 1131-nucleotide long non-coding RNA. RefSeq lists it as uncharacterized. The transcript has 6 exons. Lineage: Eukaryota; Viridiplantae; Streptophyta; Magnoliopsida; Fabales; Fabaceae. The record is from RefSeq and is a predicted model, not a curated record.
AAGAAGAACAACACCAAUCUGCAUCACCAUUCACUAAACCUACCUCACUCUAAAACUAUUAUCAUUCAUUCAACAACACCUCUCUCCUCUCCUUUUUCUCUUCUCUGUUUGUUCGGAUCCAACUCGAGGAAAGAAACAAAUUGGGGGUUAGGGUUUGCACUUUUCAGAAAAUUUUCAAAAUCGAAUUUCCAUCGCAAUGGCUUCCACAAAGAAAAUCACUCUCAAGAGUUCUGAUGCGACCUCAUCGCCUUCAUCUCAGAAUGGAGGAUAUAUUGGCGAGGGCGAAGUACGCGGUGGUGGAGAAUGAGGAUUACGGUAGCCUCAUGUGUGAGCAAUUUGGCACCGGGGAGCAGCCGGAGGAGCUGCUGUUGUGCGACAAAUGUGACAAAGGAUUCCAUAUGAAAUGUGUGAGGCCGAUUGUUGUGAGGAUUCCAAUUGGUUCUUGGAUUUGCCCUAAGUGUUCAGGGGUGAAGAAAGUGAAAAAGUUCACGCAAAGGAGAAUACUUGAUUUCUUCGGGCUUCCAAGGAAUUUGCCUGAUUUCAGAAGGAAUAAUUCUUCUUCUUGGGGUUUAUUGGUGGCAUGAAAAAUACAGACCAAGGAAGCCGAAGUAUUUCAACCGUGUUCACUGCAAAAGUGAAGUUAAGUUUAUUCUUUGAGUACUGUUUUUUUCUAUUAUAGGUUCAAUGCAACAAAAAUGUUGGAGUUGAUAAUAGAGUGGUGCAGAAACGAAGACCGACGCUGCGAGUUGAUGCCAUUGAUCACGGUUCGUUGAGAUGGAGAGGAGCUGAUAUUUUGGUUUUCAACACAGCUCAUUGGUGGUCUCAUUACAAAACCAAAGCUGGUAAUUCUGGGUCUCAUUGUUGCUACAGUCGAUCCCGUUGUUGCUGCUACUGUAAUUCUGGGUGAGCCAAUGGACAUCAUGCAGUUAUCUUUCUGUAUAAAUCCCUAAUUUGCAGAAUGACAAAGUCCAUAUCAUCCAUUAGGUUGGCGAAAUACGGAAAGGAAUUUUGCAGAAUUAGGAUGGGAUGUAAGGGUAGCACAAAGCAUCUAUGGUGCUUUCAGCGGCAUCGAGUAUGUUAAAGCUCAAACAACGGGGUUCGUUCGUCCUGAUCUAUCAAAUUUCACAGAAU